UCAGGUGGUGUCCAGCGCGCAGGCGCAUACUUAUUCUCUGCGCGGCGUCCGUUUCUCCAGACUUUCCACUUUUGGCAAGCUAUGUUCCCUGGCUUGUGUCCAGUCUACAAAAGGUCUUAAAACCACGGAGCAGGGCUUUAAGCGUUUAGGAUCUCGCUUUUUGCAGGCUUUUGACAAGAAGGCUCAGAUCUCCACUAACCAGUGGCCACAUUUUACCAUCAUGAUCAUUGAGUAGCUCACAACCAAACCGUUUGCUUUAUCACAGCAAGAAGAGUGAGGAGAGCCAAAAAUGUCACAGAAGGUAAAUAUCACAGGUGGUUAUGACAAAGCAAUCUUAGCUCUUUUGUUGAAUCUCAUGCUCAAAGAAAAGCCAAUAGAUCUAGUACCCAAGUGUAGCAUAUAAAAGGGUGGAACCGGGAAGUGAGGAUUAUUGACAACUAUUCCAUAAAUGGCAUACCAUAGGUAAAUGCUGUGACAAAAUUCUAAGUGUUUUUCUAAGUUGCAGUCUCCCUUCCCAAAGCUGGGUGUGACUUUAAUUUGGAAGCAAGGUGAUGCUGAUGGAACUAACUCUGUUAAACCUAAUUUUUAUCAGAAUGCUAAAUGUUCUUACUCAAGUGUGGCUACCAUGCAUAUAAGACUAGCAUGUGGGAUGGUACAUGUUAUCUAGCAUGCACCUUCUGAGGCAGCUUAAAGAGAUGGAAGACAGAAAAAGAGACAGCAGUAUGAUCUUCCAUAGACAGGCCCAUGUUUAUUGGCAUAUAUAGUGAGUGGUGGGUCUACUCAGAAGUGUGGGAGAGUGAUUGCCUUCAGAAAAAGAUGGCCGCUACCAAUGAUGGGGUGGGAAUGAUUGUAGCUCCUAGCUUACAUGUCUUCCUGUAGUCCCUCUCUUCUGGAGCUGCCAGCCAAAGUUCAGACAGGCAUUUCAGCAGAUAAUAAGACUAUUUGUAAUCUUGGAGGAACCCUGUUUUAUAAGGGAGACACUGCAUUAUCUCAAACAAAGGGAUAUAAAAAACAGCAGGGGGUUGGGGGCAGGGCUGUAGAGGAGUGCCAUUGCUGGAGUCGGGUAGUUCUGGCUCUGUGGAAGAGGGGUCCUCUGGCCACUUAGCAGGAGGAGAGCUUUAACCUGAUUGGCUGUUAUGGAUCAUAUUGUCAUUCUGCAUUCCCCGGGGAGACAGAGAUGGGGAAGAGUUGGAUGGCUCAUGACUCAGGGGUCACCAAACUACUUUCAGGACUUUGAGGGCACCAAUCUCUGUUUAACUGUUUUGAGCUGACAAAGGAUUGAUGAGGGGACUAUUAUGGUAAAUUUAAAAAAAAAAAUCAGGCACCAACCCAUGCUAUUGCCGGCACCAGUGGGCCACAUGGCAUCUACGAGGUAUUUUCAUCUUAAUCAGCAAACUGUUCAGUUAAUCUCUUCCUGUUAAAUUCUGACCAUUUCUAAAUUCCCCAGAAAGACAACUCAGAACAACCACCCUCAGCCUCCCAAGUCCAGGACACUGGGUCAACGACUCUUCACAACUUCUUCAGGCUGAAUAUGGAUGUUGAGAUAUCUUGAUGGGGGCUAGGGAAAAUGGCCUUAAGAAGGCCACCCAACAAUUGGUGCAGUCUCUGAUGUUUGUCCUGACUGGAUCUGGCCAAAAGUCCCUGAGAUCAGGAGUUCAAGCAGCUUUUACCUGCCCUUCUUGAGACGAAAAAGACGGUCAUUUUGAAAUGAACAGCUGUCACUAUUGUAUGACAACCCAAAUACAUGCAAUGUUCAAUCACACCACUCAGAAGUCUUUGCUGAAAGUCACGGACGGCUUACAUGCUCACAAUAUAAAUAUUUACAGUUCAUUUUGGAAAUUUUUAUAAUCAGCUAUAUUAGUAUGAAAAUGCAUUAACAAAUUUAUAUUUGUAAUAAAAAUUACAAAGUAAUUUUAAAAGGUUUAUCUGUUUUUGUAAGUAUGAAUAUUUUUCCUGCAUGUAGAUAUGUGCACCAGUUGCAUGCCCUGUGCCCUCAGAGGCUCCAAGAGGGUGCCAGACGCAGAGGAACUGCGCUUCUGGAUGGUUGUAAGUUGCCGUGUGUAUACUGGGAUCGAACCUGAGUCCUCUGUAAGAGAACAAGUGUUGUAAACCAUGGAGAUGUCUUUCUAGUUCCCUACAACAUAAUUUUUUU
RNAcentral lists this small RNA (2152 nucleotides) under Rattus norvegicus (Norway rat). Its description in RNAcentral is "uncharacterized LOC102551889". Lineage: Eukaryota; Metazoa; Chordata; Mammalia; Rodentia; Muridae. The record is from RNAcentral.